UGCACACAAAUCUGUAAAAUAAACACAUCAAACCUCAUUUUGCAUUUAAAGCUGUAAACAGGCCAAAUAACAAUAAAUCACCAAUCACACUAGACUCGGGCUCCAUUAGCUACCUUAAGCAAUUUCACACAUUCGUUAAUUCAAGAAAUACCGUUUUAUCAUUUUGAACUUUAAUACCGUGAUAGGAAAUAGGGUGAGGGGUCCUUACUUGUUUUCGGGAUCCGAAUACGAUUCACAGUGCGCCUGCAGGCCGUCCCUAAUUUUC
RNAcentral lists this long non-coding RNA (265 nucleotides) under Carica papaya (papaya). RNAcentral's name for it is "long non-coding RNA (CPAP_LNC008764)". The record is from RNAcentral. Lineage: Eukaryota; Viridiplantae; Streptophyta; Magnoliopsida; Brassicales; Caricaceae.